AUUGAACGCUGGCGGCAUGCCUUACACAUGCAAGUCGAACGGCAGCACGGGGCAACCUGGUGGCGAGUGGCGAACGGGUGAGUAAUGCAUCGGAACGUACCUUUCAGUGGGGGAUAACGUAGCGAAAGUUACGCUAAUACCGCAUAUUCUGUGAGCAGGAAAGCAGGGGAUCGCAAGACCUUGCGCUGAUUGAGCGGCCGAUGUCAGAUUAGCUAGUUGGUGAGGUAAAGGCUCACCAAGGCGACGAUCUGUAGCGGGUCUGAGAGGAUGAUCCGCCACACUGGGACUGAGACACGGUCCAGACUCCUAAGGGAGGCAGCAGUGGUGAAUUUUGGACAAUGGGGGCAACCCUGAUCCAGCCAUGCCGCGUGAGUGAAGAAGGCCUUCGGGUUGUAAAGCUCUUUCGGCCGGGAAGAAAUCGCACGGGCUAAUACCCUGUGUGGAUGACGGUACCGGAAUAAGAAGCACCGGCUAACUACGUGCCAGCCGCCGCCGCAG
This 498-nucleotide ribosomal RNA is filed under the name uncultured bacterium. Its description in RNAcentral is "partial 16S ribosomal RNA". It matches the Rfam family "Bacterial small subunit ribosomal RNA", at positions 30 to 523 of the family's 1533-position model. The record is from RNAcentral.